UGGGGAAUAUUGCACAAUGGGCGAAAGCCUGAUGCAGCGACGCCGCGUGAGGGAUGACGGCCUUCGGGUUGUAAACCUCUUUCAGCAGGGAAGAAGCGAAAGUGACGGUACCUGCAGAAGAAGCGCCGGCUAACUACGUGCCAGCAGCCGCGGUAAUACGUAGGGCGCAAGCGUUGUCCGGAAUUAUUGGGCGUAAAGAGCUCGUAGGCGGCUUGUCACGUCGGGUGUGAAAGCCCGGGGCUUAACCCCGGGUCUGCAUUCGAUACGGGCUAGCUAGAGUGUGGUAGGGGAGAUCGGAAUUCCUGGUGUAGCGGUGAAAUGCGCAGAUAUCAGGAGGAACACCGGUGGCGAAGGCGGAUCUCUGGGCCAUUACUGACGCUGAGGAGCGAAAGCGUGGGGAGCGAACA
This 407-nucleotide ribosomal RNA is filed under the name uncultured bacterium. Its description in RNAcentral is "bacterial SSU rRNA". It matches the Rfam family "Bacterial small subunit ribosomal RNA", at positions 355 to 774 of the family's 1533-position model. RNAcentral also lists the same sequence under 1 other name. The record is from RNAcentral.